UUGCAACCGAUUAAGCUGACAGACCUCCUCUCCCCAUGGGCACCCAGUGUGCCAUGACUGCAAACAGCAGCCUCCUCAGUAGUAUGGGCAGCCUAUGGCUCAUAUGGGUCACCCUAAAGGACCUUGGAGAUAGCC
This is a small nucleolar RNA of Trichechus manatus latirostris (Florida manatee), 135 nucleotides long. RefSeq annotates it as small nucleolar RNA SNORA70. Lineage: Eukaryota; Metazoa; Chordata; Mammalia; Sirenia; Trichechidae. The record is from RefSeq and is a predicted model, not a curated record. The transcript has a single exon.